GUUCCCUUGGUCUAGUGGUCAUGACGUCAGCUUUACACGCUGAAAAUCCGCGGUUCGAACCCGCGAGGGAACA
This is a transfer RNA of Catenaria anguillulae PL171, 73 nucleotides long. It matches the Rfam family "tRNA". Rfam says of the family: Transfer RNA (tRNA) molecules are approximately 80 nucleotides in length. Their secondary structure includes four short double-helical elements and three loops (D, anti-codon, and T loops). Further hydrogen bonds mediate the characteristic L-shaped molecular structure. tRNAs have two regions of fundamental functional importance: the anti-codon, which is responsible for specific mRNA codon recognition, and the 3' end, to which the tRNAs corresponding amino acid is attached (by aminoacyl-tRNA synthetases). tRNAs cope with the degeneracy of the genetic code in two manners: having more than one tRNA (with a specific anti-codon) for a particular amino acid; and 'wobble' base-pairing, i.e. permitting non-standard base-pairing at the 3rd anti-codon position. Lineage: Eukaryota; Fungi; Blastocladiomycota; Blastocladiomycetes; Blastocladiales; Catenariaceae. The record is from Rfam.